AUUGAACGCUGGCGGCAUGCCUUACACAUGCAAGUCGAACGGUAACAGGUUAAGCCGACGAGUGGCGAACGGGUGAGUAAUAUAUCGGAACGUGCCCCGUCGUGGGGGAUAACGUAGCGAAAGCUACGCUAAUACCGCAUACGAUCUACGGAUGAAAGCGGGGGAUCGCAAGACCUCGCGCGCUUGGAGCGGCCGAUAUCAGAGUAGGUUGUUGGUGAGGUAAAAGCUCACCAAGCCUGCGAUCUGUAGCUGGUCUGAGAGGACGACCAGCCACACUGGAAAUGAGACACGGUACAGACUCCUACGGGAGGCAGCAGUGGGGAAUUUUGGACAAUGGACGCAAGUCUGAUCCAGCAAUGCCGCGUGCAGGACGAAGGCCUUCGGGUUGUAAACUGCUUUUGUACGGAACGAAACGGUGAGCUCUAAUACAGUUUGCUAAUGACGGUACCGUAAGAAUAAGCACCGGCUAACUACGUGCCAGCCGCCGCCGUAA
This 493-nucleotide ribosomal RNA is filed under the name uncultured bacterium. RNAcentral describes it as "partial 16S ribosomal RNA". It matches the Rfam family "Bacterial small subunit ribosomal RNA", at positions 30 to 523 of the family's 1533-position model. The record is from RNAcentral.